Molecule: ribosomal RNA, 451 nt
Filed under: uncultured bacterium
Lineage: Bacteria
Description: partial 16S ribosomal RNA
Rfam family: Bacterial small subunit ribosomal RNA
Source: RNAcentral
AACGAACGCUGGCGGCAGGCCUAACACAUGCAAGUCGAACGGGUGUAGCAAUACAUCAGUGGCGCACGGGAGAGUAACGCGUGGGAACCUACCUUUUGGUUCGGAAUAACGUCGGGAAACUGACGCUAAUACCGGAUAAGCCCUACGGGGGAAAGAUUUAUCGCCGAGAGAUGGGCCCGCGUUAGAUUAGCUUGUUGGUGAGGUAACGGCUCACCAAGGCUACGAUCUAUAGCUGGUCUAAGAGGAUGAUCAGCCUCACUGGGACUGAGACACGGCCCAGACUCCUACGGGAGGCAGCAGUGGGGAAUAUUGGACAAUGGGGGCAACCCUGAUCCAGCCAUGCCGCGUGAAUGAUGAAGGCCUUCGGGUUGUAAAGUUCUUUUGGCGGGGACGAUGAUGACGGUACCCGCAGAAUAAGCUCCGGCUAACUUCGUGCCAGCAGCCGCCGUAA